This is a microRNA precursor of Gallus gallus (chicken), 63 nucleotides long. NCBI's taxonomy places the organism in Eukaryota, Metazoa, Chordata, Aves, Galliformes, Phasianidae. The record is from Ensembl.
GUGAGUAAUGGGAGAGGGUCCCUGGGGCACCUCGGCCAGGACCCCAUCCCUCAGCCUCACCCC